UGGGGGAUAUUGCACAAUGGAGGAAACUCUGAUGCAGCAACGCCGCGUGAGGGAAGAAGGUCUUCGGAUUGUAAACCUAAGUUGUCAGGGACGAAAAAGAUGACGGUACCUGAAGAGAAAGCUCCGGCUAACUACGUGCCAGCAGCCGCGGUAAUACGUAGGGAGCGAGCGUUGUCCGGAUUUACUGGGUGUAAAGGGUGCGUAGGCGGGUUUGCAAGUCAGGCGUGAAAUACCGAUGCUUAACAUCGGGGCUGCGCUUGAAACUGUAGAUCUUGAGUGAAGUAGAGGCAAGCGGAAUUCCUAGUGUAGCGGUGAAAUGCGUAGAUAUUAGGAGGAACACCAGUGGCGAAGGCGGCUUGCUGGGCUUUAACUGACGCUGAGGCACGAAAGCGUGGGGAGCAAACAGG
Molecule: ribosomal RNA, 407 nt
Filed under: uncultured prokaryote
Also listed under: 1 other name
Description: bacterial SSU rRNA
Rfam family: Bacterial small subunit ribosomal RNA
Source: RNAcentral